RNAcentral lists this ribosomal RNA (468 nucleotides) under uncultured bacterium. RNAcentral describes it as "partial 16S ribosomal RNA". It matches the Rfam family "Bacterial small subunit ribosomal RNA", at positions 28 to 507 of the family's 1533-position model. The record is from RNAcentral.
GACGAACGAGGGAGGGGGGAGGAAGAAAGGAAAGUGGAAAGGACAGGCCCUGCUUUUGUGGGGUGCUCGAGUGGCGAACGGGUGAGUAACACGUGAGUAACCGUCCCUUGACUUUGGGAUAACUUCAGGAAACUGGGGCUAAUACCGGAUAGGAGCUCCUGCUGCAUGGUGGGGGUUGGAAAGUUUCGGCGGUUGGGGAUGGACUCGCGGCUUAUCAGCUUGUUGGUGGGGUAGUGGCUUACCAAGGCGUGGACGGGGAGCCGGCCUGAGAGGGUGACCGGCCACAUUGGGACUGAGAUACGGCCCAGACUCCUACGGGAGGCAGCAGUGGGGAAUAUUGCACAAUGGGCGGAAGCCUGAUGCAGCAACGCCGCGUGCGGGGUGCCGGACGUGGUUGUGUAAACCGCUUUCGCCUGUGACGAAGCGUGAGUGACGGUAAUGGGUAAAGAAGCACCCUCUCCCUACGUC